Pteropus alecto (black flying fox) is the source of this 1149-nucleotide long non-coding RNA. RefSeq lists it as uncharacterized. The transcript is spliced from 2 exons. NCBI's taxonomy places the organism in Eukaryota, Metazoa, Chordata, Mammalia, Chiroptera, Pteropodidae. The record is from RefSeq and is a predicted model, not a curated record.
GGAAAUCCCGGAACCAGGGGAGCCAAGCGGCCUCGCUCAGUGCGCAUGCUCCAGACUGGCGACGGCCCGGUGUCCCUUUCCCGCGGGGCCCAGGGAGCGGAUCUGAAAGGGUGGUUGGCAGAUGAAGGGCGAGGGAAAAAGAUUCCAAUCGGAACCGAUCCGAAGCGAGCGGCCGGAAGUGACGCAUACGAGCGAGCGGAAGGACGGAGGCCCCUGCUUGUUGCCCUGGAAACCGAACCCUCCCCCAGGCCCGAGUGCGUCAGCGGCCCCGAGCUCCGUGCGCGGGGGCGACGCACUUCGGUGGCGGGGUCCGGGCGAGGGCGCCCUGCGCGCCGAACGGGACCCUAAGCUGGCCUUGUGUGCCCUCAGCCCAGAAUCGUGCACCAGACACCCGCCCCGUGCCGGGCAUCAUAGUCACCGGCCCAGGGGAGAACUGGACCUGCGCGGAUCCUCCUCCAACCCCGCCGGUCGCCCUCCUUGGAAGUCGUAGCCCGCCUACUCAUCCGCUCGAUUUUAAAGCCGCAGCUUUUCCCGACCGCAAAGCUAACCCACUGCUCUUUCCCCUUUUUUCCCUAAGCCAUGCCCUUCCACGCUUGCUUGUGUUUUCUGUAUCGUUUUGCAGAUAUUACGUUGCAAUAGCAUUCAUUUCCGUCCUCCCGGGCAGCUGCUGCUCUGCGGUACAAGUGUGGGUGGUUGAUGGUCGUCUUUUUGCUUCUCUACAUUUCCUCCUUUAAAAAGCAUACAUACAUAGAUUUCGUGAUGAAAAAUCAUUUUUUAAGAGCCCAGUCCUUUGUCCUCAAAGAGCUUGAUACAUUUGGAAACACUUUUUUCGGUUAACUUUUUUAUAUAUAAUUUCAAACUUAGGACACUGAAUUGUAAAAAGAACUCGCAUACACUCUAUCCAUAUUUGCCAACUGCUUUCUUUUUCGCCUCCUUUGUUUUAUAAUGAGAUAGAUGAUAGGUAGACAGACAUACUAAUUAUGUACUUUAUAGCUAUUUUCCCCCUGUCCAGGAUCACAUGUUGCAAUUAGUUUUCAUAUAUUUAAUAUCCUUCUAACUGAAAGUUUCUCAGUCUUUUGUCUUUCGUGACUUUAAUAUGUUCGAAAAAUACAGGCCAGCUAUUUUGUAAUAAAAUAUUCCUCAAUUUGA